RNAcentral lists this ribosomal RNA (253 nucleotides) under uncultured bacterium. RNAcentral describes it as "partial 16S ribosomal RNA". It matches the Rfam family "Bacterial small subunit ribosomal RNA", at positions 524 to 776 of the family's 1533-position model. The record is from RNAcentral.
UACAGGGGGGGCAAGCGUUGUUCGGAAUUACUGGGCGUAAAGGGCCAGUAGGCGGCCAACUAAGUCACACGUGAAAUCCCCAGGCUUAACCUGGGAACUGCGUGUGAUACUGGAUGGCUUGAAUUCGGGAGAGGGAUGCGGAAUUCCAGGUGUAGCGGUGAAAUGCGUAGAUAUCUGGAGGAACACCGGUGGCGAAGGCGGCAUCCUGGACCGGCAUUGACGCUGAGGCGCGAAAGCCAGGGGAGCAAACGGG